Molecule: transfer RNA, 68 nt
Filed under: Capsicum annuum
Lineage: Eukaryota; Viridiplantae; Streptophyta; Magnoliopsida; Solanales; Solanaceae
Rfam family: tRNA
About the family: Transfer RNA (tRNA) molecules are approximately 80 nucleotides in length. Their secondary structure includes four short double-helical elements and three loops (D, anti-codon, and T loops).
Source: Rfam by way of RNAcentral
AGGGAUAUAACUGGUAGAGUGUCACCUUGACGUGGUGGAAGUCAUCAGUUCGAGCCUGAUUGUCCCUA